This 417-nucleotide ribosomal RNA is filed under the name uncultured Trebouxia photobiont. RNAcentral's name for it is "bacterial SSU rRNA". It matches the Rfam family "Eukaryotic small subunit ribosomal RNA", at positions 1194 to 1831 of the family's 1831-position model. Lineage: Eukaryota; Viridiplantae; Chlorophyta; Trebouxiophyceae; Trebouxiales; Trebouxiaceae. The record is from RNAcentral.
GACACUAUAGAAUACUCAAGCUAUGCAUCCAACGCGUUGGGAGCUCUCCCAUAUGGUCGACCUGCAGGCGGCCGCGAAUUCACUAGUGAUUGAUGCAUUCAACGAGCCUAUCCUUGGCCGACAGGCCCGGGUAAUCUUUGAAACUGCAUCGUGAUGGGGAUAGAUUAUUGCAAUUAUUAAUCUUCAACGAGGAAUGCCUAGUAAGCGCGAGUCAUCAGCUCGCGUUGAUUACGUCCCUGCCCUUUGUACACACCGCCCGUCGCUCCUACCGAUUGGGUGUGCUGGUGAAGCGUUCGGAUUGGCGUUAGUGGGCGGUUUUCCGCCUCCUCUCGCUGAGAAGUUCGUUAAACCCUCCCACCUAGAGGAAGGAGAAGUCGUAACAAGGUUUCCGUAGGUGAACCUGCGGAAGGAUCAUUG